RNAcentral lists this ribosomal RNA (467 nucleotides) under uncultured bacterium. Its description in RNAcentral is "partial 16S ribosomal RNA". It matches the Rfam family "Bacterial small subunit ribosomal RNA", at positions 28 to 507 of the family's 1533-position model. The record is from RNAcentral.
GACGAACGCUGGCGGCGUGCUUAACACAUGCAAGUCGAACGGAAAGGCCUCUUUCGGGGGGUACUCGAGUGGCGAACGGGUUAGUAACACGUGAGUAACCUGCCCUUGACUUUGGGAUAACUUCAGGAAACUGGGGCUAAUACCGGAUAGGAGCUCCUGCUGCAUGGUGGGGGUUGGAAAGUUUCGGCGGUUGGGGAUGGACUCGCGGCUUAUCAGCUUGUUGGUGGGGUAGUGGCUUACCAAGGCUUUGACGGGUAGCCGGCCUGAGAGGGUGACCGGCCACAUUGGGACUGAGAUACGGCCCAGACUCCUACGGGAGGCAGCAGUGGGGAAUAUUGCACAAUGGGUGGAAGCCUGAUGCAGCAACGCCGUGUGCGGGAUGACGGCCUUCGGGUUGUAAACCGCUUUCGCUCAUGACGAAGCUUUGUGUGACGGUAGUGGGUAAAGAAGCACCGGCUAACUACGUG